CUAAUAAACAACAGAAAACACUUGCAAAAAACGGCAAGGAACGUAUGUUAACUAGUGAUGGGUCCAGCGACACCGAUGCAUUGACACAUGCGCCGGGCUCACAGAGCAAACCACGUGUCGAUGCAUGUGCCUGCUUCAUUACGUCACGUGAUUGACACGUGAACUGCAUUGACACAGUCCAGGCUUCUAAUUGACACACCGGCUGCGUUGACACAGUCCAGGCUGCUAAUUGACACAUCGACUGUGUUGACACAGUCCAGGCUGCUAAUUGACACAUCGGCUGCGUUGACACAGUCCAGGCUGCUAAUUGACACGUGAACUGCACCGGUGCAGUUUAGACCGCAUCGGCUGCUUGGCACAGUACAGGCUGCGCCACUUAGUCCAGGGGGCGUCGACUCAGUGCAGAGGGCGUUGACGCAGCAAAAGCCCGCCGCACAGUGUUUAUAAGGAAGUGGGUUUGGCCACACAAUGCCACUUGCCGAAACAAGCCAGACCUCACUCACGCUCGCUUGUCGAAGUUCGUGUCAGUGCAGACUUUGUGUUCGUGCCUUGCCUUCCUUGCCGAUUAUGGAGCAGAGACGCAAAUCAUCCGCCGUGUGGGACCAUUUUGAUGUCCCGGAGAAUAAGGUGAAAUGUCGAAUUUGCCAAGUCGAAUUGUCAUACACCAACAGAAGCACCUCCACCAUGCUGAGGCAUUAUCGGGCCAAGCAUGAGAAUGAAGUUCGCGAUACACCCAGUAUUACGCCAGGUUCCAGGAAGCGGCUGUACUGGAAGGACCAACACACUUCUUUCCCAAACCUCUCCCACCUCGCAAAGGAGUUCCUUUGUACGCCAGCCUCAUCCGUCCCUUGUGAGCGUGUGUUCUCCACAGCAGGAGAAAUCGCUUGUAAAAGACGCAACAGGCUGAAGUUUAAAACAUUGGAGCAUCUUAUUUUUCUCAAUAAAAAUGUGUGAAAUAAAAGCCCACAAGCAUCCUCAUUCAAAUGAUCUUCACAUUAUUUGAACACAUUGAAUGUUGCAAAAUGAAUGCAUGGAUGUGAAUGAUAUUGUAUACACUUCAUCAUCAAAUCGAUGAAUGACCUUAUGAAAAUGUUUUGGAACAGUUGUAGAUGCAAAACCGUGCUGGCAGCUACAUAAUGGAUAAUAAAAGAAAAAUAUCCCAAACCAUAGGGAUCCUCCCAAAAACUAAGGAUGUGCUGAAAAAGAGAUCCUUGUACACCUUAUACUUUUAUUACUUCCAUAUUUGACCUAUUGUGUGGGAAUAUGGGGAAAUGCCAGUAAAACACUGUUUUAAAACUACAAUACAAAGCAAUCGGAACAAUCACUGGCUCCAAAUGGACGGAACCCACAAUUCCACUGUUUAUCAAAUUAAACAAUGAAAUCUCAUGACCUGAUUGACUUCAAAAUCGCCCAAUUAAUGUACAAAGCACACAAUAACCUUUGCCAAAAGAUCCAGAAGCUUUUUAAAAUUCGAGAAAGUUGUCAUAAUUUAGGGGGUACUAAUCUAUACAAAAAAAUCCAAAACACGAACGAACAUCACACAAAGGAGUGUAUCUGUAAUCGGUGUAAAUCUGUGGAAUGAUUCUGAAACGGACCAGUAAAAUGAGGAACUCUCUUGCUGAGAUUAAAAAUGAAUUUGAGAGUAGUACAAGACAACUACACAAAUCAGAAUUAAGCUGAUAAAUUCGAUACACUCAUGAAAUAUAGCAAUACAUCAGAAAUACAUUGAUGAGAUUAUUUAAUAUAUUAAUGAAAUGUAGCAUCCAUUAUGAAUAUGAGAAAAUCGACAUAUACAUGUGCUCUAAAGAGUAUGUACUGUAUAUACAAACCUAAUGUAUUAGUACAGCAUACAUAAGGGUAAAAGCAUUUGUUGAUAUUUAGACUUUCUUUCCUAUUUAGAAAAAUGAUCAAUUCAUAUAUAAGAAGGGGUAGGACUCGGGGUAGGUUUUUUGCUUCUUUCUACUCCUUUGAACACAUAUUUGUGAUGAUGACUAUUUUCUUUUCCUUUUUUUAUAUCUAACCUUCACCUUUUGCCAAUUUAUUACCGAAUUGUAUAUUUUAUAUGUUCAAUAUACAAAACAAUUUAUCAGUCAGUUCAGUCUGUUAAGUGGGUUGGCUGCAGGGAUCUUGAAGGUCCAGCAGGUGGCAGUGGUCAGUGACACAGUAUCAGCACAGUAUCAACACAGUGUGUCAGUGUGUCGACACGCCUCAUGAGGCCUCAUGGACCCAUCACUAAUGUUAACACAAAUACUAGUUCACGCACGAUAAUACAAAGAUUCCCUUGGGACGACAAAAAUGUAACUAACCGUGAAUGGUAUCAAUUGUGUAAUAUGGGCAACAGCAGCAAUGGGUCGACCACCGGAGCGGCUAGAUAUAGGAGGUGCAAUCACUGGCAAAUAGGCAGCAGGUGUGCAGGCGGCAGAAGUGAACGCGUGCCACCUGCUGCCGAAUACGGAACAUGACAGUUUGUUUUCUCGGUUUGACUAUUUCCUUGCCUUUUGCAAGCAUUUUUUGUUAUUGUAUUGUUUUUCUUUCCUGAUUCUUAUUGACCAGCGAUUUCUGUUCAUACUUUGACGAUGUGCUUUUGUUAUUGUGUGUGUGUGUGUGUGUAUGUACAGUAUCUCUCUCUCUCUCAUAAAUAUAUAUAUAUAUACACAUACACACACACACGCGCCCACCAUAUUGGCCCGAAUAUAAGACGGUGUUUUUUGCAUUGAAAUAAGACUGAGUCGUCUUUUAUUCGGGUUCUAGACAUACCCAUUCACGACGCUAGAUGGCACCAGAUAUCAUUGAAGCGAAUGCUGAACUUGACUCCCCAGGCCAAAGUGAACCCCUGCCACGAAGAAUAAAAAUAAAAAUAGAGGUAGCACGAAGAAGAAAAAUAAAAAGAUAGCGGUAAGAAGGAAAAUAGAAGAAAAUAAUAGAAGAGAUAACAGAA
Molecule: long non-coding RNA, 2938 nt
Organism: Hippocampus zosterae (dwarf seahorse)
Lineage: Eukaryota; Metazoa; Chordata; Actinopteri; Syngnathiformes; Syngnathidae
Exons: 3
Source: RefSeq, a predicted model, not a curated record